UACAGAGGGUGCGAGCGUUGUUCGGAAUUACUGGGCGUAAAGCGCGCGCAGGCGGCCUUUUAAGUCUACCCGUGAAAUGCCGGAGCUCAACUCCGUGCACGCCGGGGGAUACUGGGAGGCUGGAGACAGGUAGAGGCAAGCGGAAUUCCGGGUGUAGCGGUGGAAUGCGUAGAUAUCCGGAAGAACACCGGUGGCGAAGGCGGCAUCCUGGACCGGCAUUGACGCUGAGGAGCGAAAGCCAGGGGAGCAAACGGG
RNAcentral lists this ribosomal RNA (255 nucleotides) under uncultured bacterium. RNAcentral's name for it is "partial 16S ribosomal RNA". It matches the Rfam family "Bacterial small subunit ribosomal RNA", at positions 524 to 776 of the family's 1533-position model. The record is from RNAcentral.